GGAAGUUCUAGGGUGAUGCACCCUGGAAUCAGGCUCCCUCCUCUCUGGUUCUGGGUGGUCAUGGCACAUCA
Non-coding RNA from Myotis brandtii (Brandt's bat), 71 nucleotides. The record is from Rfam. Lineage: Eukaryota; Metazoa; Chordata; Mammalia; Chiroptera; Vespertilionidae.